Molecule: ribosomal RNA, 300 nt
Filed under: uncultured Bhargavaea sp.
Lineage: Bacteria; Bacillati; Bacillota; Bacilli; Caryophanales; Caryophanaceae
Description: bacterial SSU rRNA
Rfam family: Bacterial small subunit ribosomal RNA (bases 52-300)
Source: RNAcentral
GGUGACGGGGUGCCAGCGGGCGGGUGAGAGCGGAGGGGGCAGUGGUGAAUGGGAAUUACGGGGCGUGAAGCGGGCGCAGGCGGUGAUGUAAGACAGGGGUGAAAGCCCCGGGCGUAACCUGGGAACUGCAUUUGGGACUGCAUCGCUGGAGUGCGGCAGAGGGGGAUGGAAUUCCGCGUGGAGCAGUGAAAUGCGUAGAUAUGCGGAGGAACACCGAUGGCGAAGGCAAUCCCCUGGGCCUGCACUGACGCUCAUGCACGAAAGCGUGGGGAGCAAACAGGAUUAGAUACCCCAGUAGUC